This 1205-nucleotide long non-coding RNA is filed under the name Mus musculus (house mouse). Lineage: Eukaryota; Metazoa; Chordata; Mammalia; Rodentia; Muridae. The record is from RNAcentral.
GUUUACAGAGAAGUUCUUCAAAAUCUCUCAGGGCUCCACUGGCACUAAGCAGCAGCAAAAGGCACUUCAGCGUCAAGAAGUCUGAAAGCUGAGGCAGCUUAAGCGAUGCGUGCAUGCAUUGACCAAUGAACUAGACCAGGACUGUGGGUCAGCCAUAAAGAGGAAGGAGAGCCUCAUAUACGUUAGGCGUCCCUACAGAGCCCUAGGCCACAAGGAGCUGGAUGGUCUCAAAAGGACAAAGAGCUUAUGCAUCUACUUCUGAGAACCCUAGAGUCUCAGGCCUACUGAAGCAGAAAGCAGAAUGAAACACCUAGACUGGAGAGGGACGGACAGUGAGUUCUCUCAAGAUAGUCCCGGCUGUCUUGGAGCUCACUACCUAGACUGAACUGGCUUUGAAUUCAUGAAUAUUCUCCUGCCUCUGAGUGUUGGAAUUAAAGGCAUGGACUACUACAUCCAACUCCCUUUCUGUUCUCUCUCUCUCUCCCCCUCCCUGCCUCCCUCUAUACACACACACACACACACACACACACACACACACACACACACACUGGCUCUGAUGAAGUACCACAGGUGUGACACCCUCACAGGUAUGACUGAGGAUGUGGCAAGGCUGGGCCUGAUGUUUGGAUAUGCAGAACUCUAGGGCAUAAAAAAAAAAGAAAGAGAGAAAAGAGUAAAGGAAACGGUUCAUCAGAAGCUCAGUGAAUGAGCAGGCUGGUCCAGUCAGCAAUCAUGAGUGCUGAGUGGAGGAGCUACCAGGAAGUCAUGAGUCACUUGACAUCAGCUAGGUUUAUGGUAAUUUCCAAAAAGCCACAUAGGUGCAUACAGUGUCUGGAGAAAAAUAGUUGGCUAGUUCUCAGCCAUCCCAGAUAAACUGCUUUUUAUUCAGGUUAUGUGAGAAACAGAGUUAUGCUUUAAGUUUUUAUUACUGUGCCUAAGAGGUGUGUGAAACAAAAAUGCCUCUAAUCUGUAAGCCCCUCCCUGCCUAAGGACAGAUGCCUCCAGAAAUGCUGGAAACUAAUAUUUACAGAAGAUUGUUGUGUUUAUAAAAAGAUAAAUAGAGGAGGAAUAUGUUUUGGUGGGUAUGUAGUCAGGUGUGGGGGAAGGGGUACCUCGGCAGGCCCAUGCUGAGGCAUCUCUUCCUCCUUCAAGACCAGCUACAUGACAGUAUAGUAUAGAGUUUAUUCAGGGCAUGGGGAUGGGAG